AUUCUUUUUUUCUCUGGAAGAUUGUUUAACUGACAGAUGGUGGUUGUAACUUGUAACCUCAGUUGGGUGAUGAAACAGUGAGUGUAAGCUUUGACCUUAGACCCUCGGAUGCCAUUAACAUUGCAGUGAGAUCCAAGGUACUGCUGCAUAUUGCAGAUACAUUACACAUUUUACCUAUAUUUUUUUCUUUUAUUUUGGUACAUAUGUUAUUUUGGUAGAUAGGAAAUCAUGAUACAUGCAUUCGUGCACUUCUUGUGAGAUAAUAUGGAUCUGGAAUUGGUUAUCCAAAUCACUUUAGUUGUAAGAUAAGAUUCCUAUAUGUCGUGGUAAGACGAACAAAAUAAAUUGAAUUAUUUGUCCACUGAAAAUGGCUAGUACAAAAAACUAGCUAAUGGUCAGAGGAUACAUCCUUGUAUGGUUUUGCAAGUAAAUGAAUUGUCUUUUUGACGAUAUUUUAUUUUCUGCAGGUGCCAAUACAAGUCAACAAAUUCUUGGCAUACAGUGAUGGAAUGAGAGUCAUCGAGUCUGCAAAGUUAUUAUUUCCCGGCUCUUCUUCAGAUGGCUUCAUAUUAACAGAACUGGACCGGUAGACUUGUAUCUAAUUUUUUUAUAGUUUUAUUUCAAUGGGGACAAAGUAUAUGGCAAUAGUUUCAUCAAAAAAAUCAAGUGGUCAAGUGUUGUAGUCUAGAUGGUAAAUGUGAAUAUUUGUACGAGUGCUUGUAGCAUUAUCCAUAGAGGAUUCCUUGAAAUGUUUGGUUAUCUGCAAGAAUCUUGAAACUUCAAACAGCUGUAUAAGGGAACUUGAUGUUGUUAAAAAAAACAAAAAACAAAAAAAAAUCAUAUAGAAAAGGAUUGGGCAAAAUAUGAGAAGUUAUGUACUUUACUUUCUCUAUUCCAGUAUGUGGGAAUUAAGGAAUUGAAUUUUGUGUCUAAUUAAAAUAUUCUGGUUUCAGGCCCAGUGGCCAGCCAUGUGUUGAAACAAAAGAAUUUGAUCUCGUGCGCAACAUGCUGAUUGCCGCUGUUGAGGAACGUUACAGAGAUGCAGGUAUGUUUUUCUUUGCAUGUUUUUGUAACGUUUAGAUAUCCUUAAGGUCCGCAACCUACACUGGGACACAUGCAUGGGUCACCCUCAUCUGUGAGGUUUCUUAGUAGAAUAAAUGUUGUAGAAUGGAAAUUAAGAGACCAGAAUCUAUGAUGGAUGUUAUUGAGCAGAACAUGUAGCAUGUAGGGCAGGUUAAUUUCUGGUUCAGAAAUGGCAUGAAUAUUGUUUCUGAUGCUACCUAAAAUCAUAGAGCCUAUAUUUGCAUCAGAGAAUAACUACUUGAUUAAAAAAAUUAGUCCAUGCAAUAAAUCACUUCCUUUCCACCUUUCUUCAAUGAAAUUUUUGCAAAGGGAAUAAAUAAAUAAAUGUGAAAACCCCAACAAAAUUAAUUUGAAAGAAAGAACAUCUCUAGUCUCUUACCCUACUCUCCAUCAACUUGCAUGAAGAUGAAAAUCAAAUCUAGAUAUAUAGUAUCAUCAUUAAAAGAUUUUACUAGCCAAAGUAGUUGACAUCUUAAAUGUGCCCUCUCUUUAUUUUGCUUUACUGACUUAAAGGGGAUUUUACCAUAAGAAAAAUAAAUAUUAGCCUCGAACUCUAGUUAGUCUUUCGUGAAUUUGUUAUUUGGCUCCUUCAUUCUACUUGCAAGAUUUCUACGUUUCCUCUUUGGUAUAUGGAAAAUGCCACAAUUGUUGAAACAUUGAGCAAGUCCAUUUAAUCUCUCGCACCCUAUUCAAACGAGUUUUAGUUUUUGUUUUUGAGGAUAGCAUAGCUAUUUUCAUACACUUAACAUCAGCUUAAAGUUGCAUUUAGUGAAUUUAACCACAGCUAGGAAGAUUUAAAUGAGAUUGACCGAGUUUGUACUUGGUGGAGUAUUUGGAAUUUGCUGCUUGGGGAAGGUAUAAAUCAGCUAAGGUAUUUAUUUUUGCAUCUGACAUCUAUCUAACCCUUGUGAUUGGACUGAUUUUCUAGUUGGUAUGUCCAAGUAACUCCUUUUUAGGGUAUUGAUCUUUGAUUUGAAGUCUGUGACUUGUAAUUAUUUUUCUGGUCUUUUACAGCUCAAUGGAGGGACAAACUCAGCCAACUUCGAUCAAAGAGGAACUGGGCUUAGUAGGUAUUAAACCUCUGUCUCGAUUGUGCCAUUUAAAUUUCAAGUUUUGAUCUAUUGUGGCACUCUCUCUCUCUCUCUCUCUCUCUCUCUCUCUCUCUCUGUGUGUGUGUGUGUGUAUAUAUAUAUAUAUAUAUGUAUAGAUUGAUUAUGAGCAUGCGGAGGCACAUUGGUUUCAAAGAAAACUAACAAAUUAUUGGCGCUUUUAUCAUGUGUACAGGGCAGGAGAAAUUUGUAUAUAGAAACUGUUGGUUGAAGUAGCCCGGGUUCAGCGUCUUGGGUAAUUAUAUCUGUAUAUAUUCCCCUUAAGAUGGGAUGGGAUGGACGAUAAAUAGUGUUAAAUGUAAUGUUAAAUUACAGACAGCCAGCCAGCCAGCCAAUUGCGUUACUGUUUCCUUUACUUGUAAUGUGCACAUCUCAUUUCUUAUUUAUUUUUUAUGGAUGUCAGUUCUGUGGUUCGUAGUUGGCUGGUGUGAAGUUUUACAUUAUUAGCUAGCUCAAUUUAGAUCAGACAGAGACGGAAAUCAAAAUAUAUUCAUAUUUGUUAGGCAUACGAAAAGUAAUGAAAGCAACGCUAGGAAUAUAAUUUUUUAAAUACUAAUAUUUAAAUUUAUUGAAUCAAAUUACGUCAAAUAACUUAUUUACUAGUAAAUCUUAAGUUGCAUUUUUUUUUAAAAAAAAUGCAAUAUUUAUACAAUUUGUAAAUUCUAAAAGCAAUAUUUUUCUUUCAUGUUAUACCGAGUGUUUAGUCUAAUAGUGUGAUAAAAAUUGUAUUGUUAUAUUUUAGAAUAUUAUGUCAUGUUGUUAUUAUAAAAAUUAUAUUUAACAGUGAAUAGAAUCAAACUGGGGCAGAAAUUUUGGGAUAUGAAUGUUGACAUUGUUAUAAAAUGAGGUAUCUUUCUAUCUUACUCAUUCAUCCUAUCCUCACGUAUUCAUUUCUUGUUUGGGGUGGGUGGUUAUGUUAUUACUUUUUGCAGCAUAUAUGAAGUGAAUAACAUACUCUAUCUAUCUAUCUAUCUAUCUGUUGGAAAUAUAUAUAUGUAGAAAAGUGAAGAGAUGUUAUUAUGUCUCAAGGUUACUAGUGGUAUAUUUAUCCUUUCAAAAUUAAUUACCUCGUAUACUUUUAAAAUUUGAAAAUAGGAACUCGUCAUAUUUGAAAAUUAUGUUUCUUUCAUUAAUUAAUGCAAGUAAAAAUAAUAAUCCCUCCCUCCCUCCCUCCCUCCCUCCCUGUCUGUUUCAAAACGACAACUUAAAAAGAAAUCGUCUUUUUUAAUAAUAUGUAUAUAAUGCAUAUAAAAAAAAGGAUAUGUUAAAAACUUUAUAAUCUAAAAUAAACUCUGAAUAUCUGAUAUCUCUAGUUUUUGAAUUUACCAAAAAAGAAAAAAGAGAAUGAAUAAGAAGGAAACAUAACUAACAUUGUCCAAUUUUAUGGUUAGUUCUGGCAUUAAUCAAAUCAGUAAAAGGCAGAAAGAAGGAAAAUGAAACUGUCCCGCGCUGGGGCCUGGGGUCUCAACUCUCAACUAUCAACAACCAAGCCCAGCGUGGCAAUUGGCAAAGCUUCUUAAUUUAAUUUGUAAUGAAUGAAUGACGACUGCUUUACGGAUAAUAGGCGGGCAGGCGGGCGUGCAUCAGCUAAGUAACAUGUUUCCUUUCCUUAGUUGGUUGCCGAUUCAUUAAAAUGAGAGAGGGACAGAGAAAGCUACCUCUUCUGAACUGAACCUAUCGCUAUGAGUACUCUCUCUCUCUCUCUUUUAUUCUUUAAUAAUUCUAGCUUAUGUUCUCUCUCUCUCUCUCUCUCUCUCUAUAUAUAUAUAUAUAUAUUAUACACACACAUGACACAGAGUGAUAGAGGGAGGGUAUCAUACACAAUUUUCCUAAACUAGUGUUACCAAUUGAGUGUAGGAUCAAGGCUAGCUAAUUUGAAAAUAUCACAAAAUGUACAGAACAUUUGAUCGAUUUGAAAGGCCUUGUAAUUAAGCUCUCUUCUGAUCUCUCUUUUUCUUUUUCUUUUCGAUCGUCUGUAUUAAUGCCUAGUGUUUUUUUCCUCCUUUUUCCGGCUGUGCCUACUGAAAUUUUAGAAGAACCAUUUCUUGCUCACUUUCUUAAAUCGUGUUUACUAAUUAAGACCUAACAAAUACUUGCAUUAAUUUUUGUAGGCACUGAAGGGUCCGAUGUAAGAAAAGAAUCGCGAUCAGAAGAGGAAAGGAGGAGAAGAGAUGGAACAUUUAACAAGAAAGAGAUAGAUGCAUCUACUGAAUUCAAAAUUUCUUCUAGAAAAGAAAGCAGGAAGAGAAGGGAUAACCAAGUUCCACUUUUAGUCGAAGAUGUUCAAAACUCUGAGGAGCUAAAUGCGGUAGAGGCUUUUAGACAAGCACUAACAAAGAAUGAUUUGCUACCUGCAAAAUUUGAUGAUUAUUAUAUCAUGUUGAGGUGAUUUUCCUGUCCGUAAAAAUGUAUAACAUACCUACUUCCUUAAAUGCCAGCUUAUUUAGGUAGGAAUUGCUUCUUUUUGGUGCCUGCAUAGUAUGCUUUGUGUACGUCUAUAUGGGAGUCGAUCAAAGUUUUUGCUGGGAUUGGUAAAUUAUAUGAUUUUUUGAUUACUUCUUUUUGUCAGUGAAGCACAAGCUUCUUUUCUGUGAGAACUGCCAUGUUUUUUGUGGAAUUCAUCAAUAAAUCGAUUGCAGCUUUAAUAUGCUCGCUAAGCUGCUAAUAAUGAAUUGCAGUUGCUUAGUUGUAAUAUAAUAGUUAUAAGUCUGUUAGAACCUCCUAGAAAACACAAUGUGCUGCUAUGUGUGAGUCAUUUUCUUUUGGUGUAAAAUUUAGGGUAUAAUUGUUUAUUAUAACUUCUCUAUUUUCUCCUUAAAGCUUUUCCGGUAUAAGGGGGUUAGCGAGUAUGCAUUAAUUAUGCGAUAAUCUUCUAAGAUUUUUAGAAAUUGUUUGUUUAUUCUUCACUUCUCGCCUCUUCAGCACUGCACAAGAGCAGGCAGGAGCUACUAUGUCUGCAUAAAAUAUCUAUGUGGCCUCUGUAUUAUUCCUUGUCAGUCUAUUAGCUGCAUUAGUCAGGUAUAAAACUUCAUUCUCAAAAAUUACAUUGCUUAUAGGUUCUUGAAAGCCAGGAAGUUUGAUAUAGAGCAAGCAAAGUGCAUGUGGGCUAACAUGCUUCAAUGGAAAAGAGACUUUGGAACUGACACUAUUUUGGAGGUAAUCUUGUUUGGUGAUAUUCUUUUUGCUAUUCGUUUGAUGUGCUAUCCUCCAUUGUGGCUUGGUAUGUCGUGUCAAUUUUCUGUUGUACUCAUUAACUCAUUGAAUUCGUACAAAUCAUUCGGUUAGCUUGUUCAGAUAAUUGAGUGCCUCACCUGUCGACUAACAUUUGGAUGCUGAAUCGCUGAUAGACCCUUCAGGCAAUGACAAUUCAUUAUGCUAUGGUUCAAACUUCAAAGUACUACUUCAAUGUUAUCCUUUUUAUAUAUGUAUACUGGAACUUAUGAUUAUCUCAUGUAACAGUAAAUCUUUCGAAGUGAAAGAACUUAGACUCAAUGAAGUCAUUAUGGUUUGAAUAUGUGAAGUGAAAAAAAUUGAAUAAACAUAACUCGGAACUUCAGGAAAACAAAAUUAGUUAGUACUAUUGGCAUGCUUGGGCUAUGAUUGAACUAUUAAUGAAUAUGCUUGGUAUUGUUAAGAUGGAUUGAGCUUCCAUUGUUACUAAAUUUAGUAUCAUUUUUAGCGGAUACCAUAACCACGUUUGCAUUUCUUCUUUACAGGAACAAGGUAACUAACAAAAGUUUGAUAUUGAACAAUAGUUUGUGCACUUGAAAUUCCUACUCCACGGCCGAUGUACAAUUUCUUUAUUUCUUCUAACUGUUCCUCUACUAAUGUUUAUGUCAGGAUUUUGACCUCUAUGAGUUGGAUGAAGUCCUACGAUACUAUCCCCACGGUUAUCAUGGUGUUGAUAAGGAUGGAAGGCCUAUUUACAUUGAAAGAGUUGGUAAAGUUGAUCCAAGUAAGCUUGUGCAGGUGACAACUUGGGAUCGGUUAGUGAAGCACCAUGUGCAGGAGUUUGAAAAGACUCUUUCCAUUAGGUUUCCAGCCUGCUCAAUUGCUGCAAAAAGACACAUAGAUUCAAGUACAACUAUUUUAGAUGUUCAGGGCUUGGUAUUUUUCUGUUCGUUCUAUACAAAUAAAUAUAUAUGGUCAAGCAGGGAAUUUUUCAGAGCUGUUUCUAUAAGCUACGUGGUUUAUGAUUUCUAUAUCCUCUGUUAUUCAGGAUUUGAGAAAGUUUGGCGGUGCUGCUCGGGAAGUCAUGGACAAGCUGAGGUUGAUUGACACUGACAAUUAUCCUGAGGUAUCAACAAUUGGUUUUGCCUGUAAAGUAGUCUGUAAAAUUUGCACAGCAGUAACUGGCUUAUAAUAACUACACACCUUUCCAUUAUGUGGCUUCUAAACAUAUUUCUGAAAUACUUACCUUUGAGUAAAUAAUAUCUGCAGACACUUCGCCGAAUGUUUAUUGUGAAUGCUGGUCCUAGCUUUUGGAUGGUUUGGAACAUAGUUGCUAAGAGAUUUAUUGAUCCUAAAACGACUUCUAAGAUACAGGUGCUUUCAGAGAGUUCACUUUUAUCUAUCAAAAGUUAAAUUGCUCUAGAAAUAUCCGCAAUUAUCUUCUUGUUUUUCUUCUGUUUUUUUUUUCCUUUUUCUGGAAAUUUCGUCAGGUUCUUGGCAAAAAGUACCAGAACAAAUUGCUUGAAAUAGCUGAUCCAAGGUUACUAAGAAAGUUUUUGGUCAUGGAAUUGGUGUUCAUGAAAUUGCUUCUCAUUCAGUAAUCUUACCAUUUCAUCAAUCUAAAGCUAUGUUUGUGAUUCUUAGUGAGUUGCCAGAGUUUCUAGGUGGUAGCUGUACAUGUGCAGAUCAAGGAGGUUGUUUAAGAUAUGAUAAAGGACCAUGGAAGGAUCCUAAUAUAUCUAAAGUAAUGAAUUACUACUUUACAUAUGCAAUUUCCUGAUUUCUUAUAUUCCAAAACUUAUAUUACUAUUCAUGCAGAUGGUUUUUGGCAGUGAAGUACAAUGUUCCAGGCAGAAACAAAACAUAUUAAACGGUGAGGGUACAUCAAUAGGUGUCAGUAACCCUUGUUUUCCACUGGUAUGCUCUACUUGACCAUUUUAACUUGUGUUUCGUAGAAAUUCUUUUUUCUUUUUGAUUUUUUCAUUGAAAUAUAGGUUAAGUUUAUUCACAUUGAUUUAGGCAAGGGGGACAGAGACACCCGCAGCUGGGUCAGGAUUUGAGUCUGAGGAUACUUCUCCUAAAGCAGCGAAGGGCUAUUCAGGACUAAGGUUGACUCCUGUUAGUGAAGAGGUAAGAUCUUGAUAAUGAAUACUGAUAAUCAAGAUGUUAUGAUAACCAUGCCAUAUAAUCAAGAUGAAUAAGAAUUAGCAGCAGCACCAUGACUGAAAGGACUUACUAGGGUAAGCAUGUUUUAAUCACCUGAUCUUGGGUUAUAGUUACUAUGCUUUUGAUAAUUAUUUUAGGCUCAGGUGAAUAGAACGGCCAACCAAGCUGAGGGCAUCUCUACCUGUGACGAGGAUUUGGUUAUUAAGGCCAUGGAUGCAGAAUGGAAGGAAGAAGCAUCCCUCCAGAAAUACGAUACUUCAAUAGGUUAGAAAAAAUCUCUCUCCUUUAUUGUUUAAUAUCAGCGUCUCUCUCUCUCUCUCUAUAUAUAUAUAUAUUCUAACGUUAUGGAUUAUCGUUUAUAUAAAGUUCCUUGUAGAUGGAGUUUUAUCUUAAUUUCUCCCUAGUCCCUGUGUGAGGAAUGCAAUGAUGCAUUAUGCUUGUAUACAUGAUUUUCUUGAUUAUUUGGUUCACUUUUUCUCUUCUUAUGCUUGAUUUAAUGGAAACAUUGUCUUUCCUAAAUUUGUUUAGCUUUUAAACAUAAAUUGUGAAGGACUGUUUGUUUGACAAUAUCCUUACUUUCUCUGUAAUGAGUGUUAACCUAAAUUGUCAGAAGAGAAGCCUAGACAAUCUCAUUGAGUUAUUGGACUUUAUAUUACCUGGAUUGUGGAUUGAUACGAUAAUGUAAAAGUAAGUAGAAGUCGGACAUUCGUAUGCAGGAGGACUUUUUUUACCAAGAACAUCAAUUAUGUGGAAACUUCUUGCUCAGAUUUGCAUCAAACUCGGGGUCGUCUUCAUGGUCCUUUUUACUUUCAUCUAUUCAGUUAGAUGCCAGAUGCCCAAGAAAUUUGCAGAUUCAAUUUCAGCCCUGAAAGCUAUAUUAUGGACAAGUGAACCAAUGCUAAUGGAGGGAUAUUGUUCUCCUCCUACUCCUGGCAACCAUGGAGAAUAUGGGUUCUCAGAUCCUUUGCGAAAAAUUUGCGAGCUAGAGGGUAAGGUAAACAUGUUGCUGGGGAAGUCGUGUACAAUGCCAAAGGAGAAAGUGGAAUUGCUGAAUGCCGCUGUUUCUCGUGUGGAUGCAUUAGAAGCAGAGUUAAUUUCUACAAAGAAGGUAAGGUGUUAUUAUUAUUAUUUUUGUUGCAUGCCUCUUCCUAUUGAUCAUGUUGGCAAUUGGCAAUUGCAAUAGGAAAAUUAAAGAUUCUGUCCUAUUUUGGUCGAUGCUUUAUUAUUAUUCUUUUGUUUCAUUCCUAAUUCUCUUCCACUACUGAGAAGGCUUUGCAUGAAGCUCUUGUGAAGCAAGAAGAACUUGUUGCAUACGUGGAUGGUCAAGAAGCAGCCAUGGCCUCCGUAAGUUAACAACAAACCGUUCCAUAUUUUUUCUCUUGUGGAGUGACUAAAACUGGGUUAUAUUAUAUUGUGCACAAGCAGGGAAACAAACGUUUGGUAAAGAAGAGGUGGUGGUUUAAAAGAGGAUCAGUCAAAAUAAUACUAUAGUUUUAGUAUGUGGUAUAGAGCUUCAUAUACAUCAUUUCUUUCAGCCUUAAAUUGGUGUUUUACCAUGUUGGUUAAUUCUAUAAGGAGAGUAAUGAAUGGCCACUUUUCCCAUUUUUCAUCCAAGUGUUACUGCAAUAAGAAUGUAUAUAUAUAUAUAUAUAUAUAUAUAUAUAUAUAUAUAUAUAUACACGGGAAUGAUCCAUAAUAAAUUAAUGACUGAGAUUUAAUACACAAUUUUGCCUUCGAUGUAGGGAAAAAAAAUUUGGUCAAAAUUGUCCCUAAUAUCAAGCUAUCAAGCCAAUGAAUAGCAAAUAUUUGGUUGUCAAAUAUCAGAUCUAAUAUAUAUUCUCGAAUAUUACGCAUCAAUAGCAAAUAUCAGAACAGAUCUAAUAUAUAUUCUCGAACAGAUCUAACUUGCAGUCUGAGAAGAUCUUCCAUUGGUUUGAAACUUAUAUGAACUGAUCGAGACUCCAUGCUAUUACACUGUUCCCUUGGUGAAGCUCAGAUGAGCAUUAUGGAUUGUGUCUGGAUCGAGACGACUCCAGCCAAUAAUUUUGACGAGCUUAUUACCAUGAUAUAAAUCAUUCUUGAUUGUAAAGUGGGGACUUUGCGAAUCUUUUGUAUUGUUUGUCUAAUUAGUUCUGCAAUAAGAAAAAGAUAUGUUGACUUCCGCUAUUAUUGGGUUCAUUGGCUUGAUAGCAUGAUAUUAGGGAUAAUUUUAUCCAAUUUUUUUUUUCCCUUGCAUCCGCUAAUUUAACUAGCGGAAGACAAAAUUGUGUACUAAAUUUCAGUCAUUAAUUUAUGUAAUGAAUGGUUAUAAUGUUAUUUGUCUAUUUUUCAUCUAUAGCAAAUACUCCCUCCAUUUCAUUAUAUUUGA
Molecule: long non-coding RNA, 9897 nt
Filed under: Panax ginseng (ginseng)
Lineage: Eukaryota; Viridiplantae; Streptophyta; Magnoliopsida; Apiales; Araliaceae
Description: long non-coding RNA (PGIN_LNC011573)
Source: RNAcentral